Molecule: long non-coding RNA, 5530 nt
Organism: Anolis sagrei ordinatus
Lineage: Eukaryota; Metazoa; Chordata; Lepidosauria; Squamata; Anolidae
Source: RefSeq, a predicted model, not a curated record
AGAGGAGGGAAGACACGGGUGUUGGUGGGUUCAUUCUUGCCAGGCGCCUCUCCUUCUCUCUCUCUCUCUGUUUUGGAGUCUCAGCUCUGGACAGGACCCAGGAAGCCCACCUCCAGACUUCUGGCACGGCUCCCCUCCAGUCAAGUGAUUGUAAAUAUAGCCCGGGAUGUUGUUUACAUGAACCAUCCAGGAGGAGGAGCGUAGGAAAGAGGAGGAGGAGGAGGAAGAAGAGGAAGACGGAGGAGUCACCAAGGCUGGGAAGAAAGAAAAUAUGGCAUCUGGUGAAAGCUUGGUCAUCCAUUCCAUUGUGGACAAAAUGUAUUGCAAAUGUAGAAGGUAUGUGAAGAGCAAGAGGCAAGUGAAGAUUUAGCAUUGACAGUUUUUUUUCCAUGUAAAAAGUAAAAGUCUUUUUCCUAUUCUUCACCUUCUUCUAGUUGUGCAUAUAUGUAGACAAUAAAAAUAAUGUCAUCAUCUCCUGAAGAUAUAAUAGUGUAGAAAAUGUGUUUUGGAAAAGCCUCGUGUACAAUAAUAUCUCAGUUAAAAGAGCAAAUGAGGGCCCUUCCACACAGCCAUAUAACCCAGAAUAUCAGGGCAGAAAAUCCCACAAUAUCUGCUUUGAACUGGGUUAUCUGAGUCCACACUGCAAUAUAUUCCAGUUCUUAGGCAGUACCUCAUUAAUAGAAAUUUUGGUAUUGGAGGCAGAACUAACAUGGACAAAAUAGGGAUAAAUUUCUGCAUGCAAAAAAAGAAUAUUUUAACAUGUUUCAGCAAACUUUUUUAUCCAAAGCAAAUAGUAUACAAUGUGAAAUGAAGCGGCCAGGUCAGGUAAGCCAUACAUAAGUUUAAAAAAUAUUACUUGAAAGUAAUUUUCCAAAAUGCAUCUAGGGAUUAUUUUUUAUCUUUCAUCAGCCUCCUCCACUUUUUUUUUUUUCUUGACCAGAUGUAUAGGUAUACUUUUCACAUCCUGGCCAUAGCUGGUGAGGCAGACUUGUCUACCCAUUCAUUCUUCCCUCUAUUUUGCUGUUCCGUAUGCCCAGUAAAGGAUUUUGGAGACAGCUGCUGUUAACCUUCCCAGUUGUAGCAAUGCAUUCCAGGCUACAGCAUGAUCAGUAUCUCAAUAUUUCCAGCUCAUGCUUUGUUUACUACUGACACUCCUGUAAACUGACAGGAGUGUUUCAUAAUCCUACCCAUGUUGAUGCUGCUAGACAUUAAUAUGAAAGAAAAGGGGGAGCUGGACAAUUUGUAAAAGACCACUAUAAUAAGAUUUGUUAAUGGAGGAAACACUGUAUUCCUUAUUGUCAGAGCAUCCCUUGUGCCAUGAAACAAUGAAGCCCAAACUGCAGGCUUACCUGUAGAUUUCCUAUUGAUAGCUUAUAUUUGCAUAGCAGUUGAAUUCCUAGUAAUAAUGCUCAGGCAUAUUUUGAUAAUCUAAACCUCAAUUAAGUUUAUGAAAACCAUUAUACCAAGAGCUCUGGUUGAAUUUCAAAAAGGAUUUGUAUACUUUGCAGGUGACAACUGUAGUUCUAGGAGCACCCGGUGGUGCAAUGGGUUAAACCCUCUUGCUGGCAGGACUGCUGACCAACAGGCCAGCAGUUCGAAUCUGGGGAGAGUGGAUUGAGCUUCCUCUGUCAGCUCCAGCUCCCCAUGCAGGGACAUGAGAGAAGCCUCCCACAAGAAUGUUAAAACAUUAAAACAUCUGUGCGUUCCCUGGGCAACGUCCUUGCAGAUGGCCAAUUCUCUCACACCAGAAGCGACUUGCAAUUUCUCAAGUUACUCUUGACACACACAAACUGUGUGUUUGUCACUGUAAAACGUGAUGUUGAAUAAAAUAGUUUACUCUAUUGUCAUUGUACAAUGAAACAAGGAGAGAAGAUCAACCUAAUUGAAUUGAGGAUAAAAUCACAAGUUGUCAUAAAGAAAGAAAGGUUUCUUUCUAAAAAGGUAUCUGUCAGUUUCCUUAUCAUUUACAUAGAUUCCUAUUCAGCAGCUAACUUGUUGUUUCUGUUCUUCAACUGAGGAGAAAUCAAGGAGCUGUUUGCAUUCAGCACAGUGGUUCUCAGCUUGCUGAUAUUUUGAGUUUUAAUCCCAGAAGUCUUAGCUGUGCAAUGGCCAGGGAUUCUCAAAAACAUCUGGAAAACCAAAUAUUCGAACCACUGGAAGCAGCUUAUGUUUAAAUAGUAAAGGAUCCCUGAAGUGUGCCUCCUCUGUAAUGCAUGUACCUCAAAAAAGAGGCUUUUUAAAAACCUGGGCAAAUAUCCUUGUCAAGCCACUCAAAUAAACAUGCUCAGAUUAACUGGGUUAAUUGAGCUUCCUGUUCCAUUGUGUAAAUAUCGCUCUCUUCUUAUGUAACAUUUGUUUCUGGUUUCUUUUUAACAUGUUACAAAUAUUUUGAGCAAGAAUUUGUCUCAUUGUUGCCCUCUUGUGGUUUUUUCUUUUCACAGCAGCUGGUUGGUUACUUUACGAUUUUGCCACUGCAAUAUUCAAAAUGAACUGGUCUUUCUUUAACUAAUUUCCAAACACUGAUAACUAUAAAUAUAUACAAAUCAGUUUUCAGAUUCAGGUAACGUGAAUGCAUUUACUUAUAUAUUUGCACCUCACUUCCUCCGUCGUCAGUUGGAGGAAUAUUUUCCAUUCUGGAUCUAAAUGUCAAGGAACAGAGUGCCCUGAGGUUACAAUCUGCUUUCCAAUGAAGUUAAAGGCAAAGGGAGUCACUGAUACGAAUAGCUGAGUUGCAUCCUAAAUCACCACUUAUAUAAGCACUCUUAUUAUGUAAUUCUUUUUCAGCUUUUGUCUUUAUGUAGGAAAUGUCAGCAUCACCCUGUAAGCCUGCCUUUUGAUUCUACUUGCAGACCAGUCAUUGUUGACUUUUUUCUGGUUUUGGUAGAAAAUAUGGAUGACAUCUGACUUCUGCUGUGUUUGUUCAAGUGAGUUUAAGUAAAGAUAUAGGAUAUAGUGCAGAACAGUAGUUCCCAACCUGUGGGUCCCCAGGUGUUUUGACCUACAACUCCCAGAAAUCCCAGCCAGUUUGCCUUCAACUCCCAGGAUUUCUUGGAGUUGAAGGCCAAAACAUCUGGGGACCCACAGGUUGGGAACCACUGGAUAGAACCCCCCAUGAUAUUAAGAUGGUUCUGGAGCCAAGUCCCAAUUUGAACUGAACACAUUGGAUGGAGAAGAGAGCCAAAAAUGCUUCCAUCAACCGUAUAUCCACUGUAAGAAGCAGAAACCCUUUAACUUCUCCACCUGAAUUAGCAAAAAUGUUGAUCACUUGAAAAAUCCUUGGUCAACUUUUUUAGAAGAUUGGGCUGCAUUUUUUACUUUUGUGAAGACAAAAUGGGCACACGUUGCAACUUUGGCUUUCAAUAGAUAGUAGAGAUGUAAUAAGUAGAAAGGAAUAGCAGGUUCACAUAAUGGAAGUUUUAAAAUAUGUGAAUGAAGGGAUCUGACCAAGGGAAAGGAAGUUAUAUUAUCCUCCCCCUUGUAUGUAGUAUAAUCUGUGGUAGACAUUUGUAGCAUUUGUAGAUCUUGUUUUGUAUGAUUGAAAAAAUUGUGUGUCAAUAAAAAUAUUUUAAAAUGAAUUCUCCUAACCUAGUUGAUUAGCAGAACUAACUUAUGCUAAACUGGACCUUGAGGUAGAAAAUCAAACUAGUGAUCCCAUCUCAUGAUUUGUUCAUAUAUUUACUUUUGCGUGCCCAAGCAAAUGUAAAUAAAGUCUGUUGGAGGCACUGCCCUCUGUGACCUACCUUGGAGGUAACACUAUAAAACAGUGGUUCUCAACUUGUGGGUCCCCAGGUGUUUUGGCCUACAGCUCAAAGAAAUCCCAGUCAGUUUACCAGCUGUUAGGAUUUCUGGGAAACGAAGACCAAAACAUCUGGGGACCCACAGGUUGAGAACCACUGCUAUAGAAGAACAUGAGAGAAGGCCCUUCUUGGCUUUGGCACCCUCAUUGUGACUUCUCUGAGACGUCCAGUUGGUAUCAAUAUUUGUGUCAUUCUGGCACCAGACCAAAAACUUUCAAUUUCAUAUGUGUUGGAAUUGGCACCAUUUUUAAUUGGUUUUAUAUAAUAAUGUAUAUAUCACCUAUUUUACCCCUAGUAGUAAUAAUGUGGAAAUAUGACUGGUUAUAUUAACUAUGUUUUUGAUGCUAUCUAGGCAUCUGAAGCAGUGCCAUGUUGUUUUUACCAAUCUAAAUGGUAUUUUGUUAAUUUCUGUCAUUCAAGGAUGGCAGUCUUUUAGGAACAUGACUUAUAUAGAGCUGGGAAAUUAUAAUCCUCCAGAUGGCCUUGAACUACAGCUCCCAAGAACCCUAGUGAGCAUGGCACGGGGCAACGCCACAACAACAGAGGAGUGCCACAUGGUUGUUAUUCCUGAUUUAUAUUUUGUAUCCCUUUGGGGAAAAAAUUCAAAUAAGCCCUUAUAAAUAGUAUAUGUGCACACAUACACUUCUGCAUGUAGACCUGUGCAAACAACCCAGGAAUCCUUUAAAUUCCAGCCUAGGAUUAGGGAAUAUGGUUCUUUUGAUCAGAGAUUCAUAAUCUGGACCGGAUUCAGGUUGUGAAGUCGAUGAGCUGAGGGCAAAAAAGAUUUUUUUCUCUCUCUCCAUUGUUUUAGUUUCUUCAAAUAUCUAACUUUUUUUCCUUCCAGAGUAAUCUGUAUGAAGGAAACCAGCACAAUAAAAUUAACUAUAUACAAAAUUUUGUGUGCAUAUAUUUAUUCUAUAGAGCCAGCAUGCUAUAGUGGUUUGAACAUUGGACUAUGAGUCUGGAGACCAGGGCUCACCUGUUUGAACCCAUUGGGUGACUUGGGCAAGACACUCUGAAUAAAUCUUGCAAAUAAUGUGGGCUCAAAGGCCCUCUGAAUAAAUCUUGCAAAGUGAUGGAUUCACCUUAAGGUCACCUUCAGAAGUGACAUGAAGGCAAACAAGAACAAACAUUGGUUUAUUUUUAGGGGAGAUGGACGGGAUCCAUAGCUCCAAUAAGAUUUUUUAAGGGGAUAUAUGAACCAAGAGAAAGGAUAAGAACCAUUGUGGUGUCCCAGAAUUACCACACUGAUCAUCUUUAGCAAAGAUAGAUAAUGGCAAAGACUGAUGUGGGUUUAAUUCCAAUGGUUGGAGGGCCACACUUUCCCCACUGCUUUAACCAUUCCCCUUCAGUUUUGAAAUCUCUGAGCAACUCAAAGAGGUGUGUGCUCUAUCAGUGAACCACAGCAGUUAUUAUGUUGGAGUUCCUUGAUCAGACCAUGGUGCUAUGUGAUUUAGUGCAUACUGUUUGACUCAUUAUAACAUGCACUACAUGAGGCCUACUUUGAAAAUUGUUUGGGGACUUCACUUGGUUCAAAGAGUUGCAGCCAGAGUGUUAAAUGGCUCUUGCUACAGCGAGCAUAACAAUUCCUGUGUUGCAAACGAGCUUCCGGUUGGUUUCUAGGCUGCUUGUGACUAUAAAGCCUAUGUAACCAAAUCUGUCUCUGUACAAAGCAGCCUAGGCCCUGAGAUCCUUAUGCCAGUUUCAUCACCAUCAGAGGUGCAUUUGGGGGG